UGGGGAAUUUUUUGCAAUGGGCGAAAGCCGGACGGAGCAAUGCCACGUGGAGGUGGAAGGCCUACGGGUCGUCAACUUCUUUUCUCGGAGAAGAAACAAUGACGGUAUCUGAGGAAUAAGCAUCGGCUAACUCUGUGCCAU
This 141-nucleotide ribosomal RNA is filed under the name uncultured bacterium. Its description in RNAcentral is "partial 16S rRNA". It matches the Rfam family "Bacterial small subunit ribosomal RNA", at positions 355 to 511 of the family's 1533-position model. The record is from RNAcentral.